ACUACGGGUGGCAGCAGUGGGGAAUAUUGGGCAAUGGGCGCAAGCCUGACCCAGCAACGCCGCGUGAAGGAAGAAGGCUUUCGGGUUGUAAACUUCUUUUAUCAGGGACGAAGCAAGUGACGGUACCUGAUGAAUAAGCCACGGCUAACUACGUGCCAGCAGCCGCGGUAAUACGUAGGUGGCAAGCGUUAUCCGGAUUUACUGGGUGUAAAGGGCGUGUAGGCGGGAGUGCAAGUCAGAUGUGAAAACUAUGGGCUCAACCCAUAGCCUGCAUUUGAAACUGUACUUCUUGAGUGCUGGGGAGGCAAUCGGAAUUCCGGGUGUAGCGGUGAAAUGCGUAGAUAUACGGAGGAACACCAGUGGCGAAGGCGGAUUGCUGGACAGCAACUGACGCUGAGGCGCGAAAGCGUGGGGAGCAAACAGGAUUAGAUACCCCUGUAGUC
This 443-nucleotide ribosomal RNA is filed under the name uncultured bacterium. Its description in RNAcentral is "partial 16S ribosomal RNA". It matches the Rfam family "Bacterial small subunit ribosomal RNA", at positions 338 to 795 of the family's 1533-position model. The record is from RNAcentral.